This 301-nucleotide ribosomal RNA is filed under the name uncultured bacterium. RNAcentral describes it as "partial 16S ribosomal RNA". It matches the Rfam family "Bacterial small subunit ribosomal RNA", at positions 509 to 809 of the family's 1533-position model. The record is from RNAcentral.
CAGUCGCCGCGGUAAUACAGAGGGUGCGAGCGUUAAUCGGAUUUACUGGGCGUAAAGCGUGCGUAGGCGGCUUCUUAAGUCGGAUGUGAAAUCCCUGAGCUUAACUUAGGAAUUGCAUUCGAUACUGGGAAGCUAGAGUAUGGGAGAGGAUGGUAGAAUUCCAGGUGUAGCGGUGAAAUGCGUAGAGAUCUGGAGGAAUACCGAUGGCGAAGGCAGCCAUCUGGCCUAAUACUGACGCUGAGGUACGAAAGCGUGGGGAGCAAACAGGAUUAGAUACCCCUGUAGUCCCUGUCUCUUAUAA